This 291-nucleotide long non-coding RNA is filed under the name Elaeis guineensis (African oil palm). Its description in RNAcentral is "long non-coding RNA (EGUI_LNC017486)". The record is from RNAcentral. Lineage: Eukaryota; Viridiplantae; Streptophyta; Magnoliopsida; Arecales; Arecaceae.
GCAGACCAAAGAUUAAUACCAAGCCUUUCCUAGAGGAGGAGCACCUACUUUUUUUUAUCUUUUUCUUUUGUACAAAAGAAUGAAUGUCUUUUUUGACUGAAAGCCACUAGCCAAAAGUGUGAUCUCAUGUGCUUAACGACUAUAUUCUUAGGACCAAUGGAGAAAUCACUUAGCUCCCACCAUUCUAUAUGUAAUAAAUUAUCCAAACUUAUACCAACUUUAUAGUGUCUGUAUUCUCCAGACAAGCUUCACCAUCAAAUUUUACUCACUCACAGUGUCAUUGGUGACCAA